This 66-nucleotide transfer RNA is filed under the name Mogannia minuta. Its description in RNAcentral is "tRNA-Ser". Lineage: Eukaryota; Metazoa; Arthropoda; Insecta; Hemiptera; Cicadidae. The record is from RNAcentral.
UAGGAAACAAGGAUAAAAUCAGCUGCUAACUGACUUUUAAAACGGUUAAAUUCCGUUUUUUCCUUG